GAUGAACGCUGGCGGCGUGCCUAAUACAUGCAAGUCGAGCGAACAGACGAGGAGCUUGCUCCUCUGACGUUAGCGGCGGACGGGUGAGUAACACGUGGAUAACCUACCUAUAAGACUGGGAUAACUUCGGGAAACCGGCGCUAAUCCCGGAUAAUAUAUUGAACCACAUUGUUCAAUAGUGAAAGACGGUUGUGGUGUCUCUUCUAGAUGGAUCCGCGCCGCAUUAGCUAGUUGGGAAGGUAACGGCUUAUCAAGGCAACGAGGCGUAGACGACCUGAGAGAGUGAUCGGCCACACGGGAACUGAGACAGGGUCCAGAGUCCUACGGGAGGCAGCAGUAGGGAAUCUUACGCAAUAGGCGAAAGCCUGACGGAGCAACGCCGCGUGAGUGAUGAAGGUCUUCCGAGCGUAAAACUCUGUUAUGAGGGAAGAACAAAUGUGUAAGUAACUAUGCCCGUCUUGACGGUACCGAAUCAGAAAGCCACGGCUAACUACGUG
RNAcentral lists this ribosomal RNA (497 nucleotides) under uncultured bacterium. RNAcentral's name for it is "partial 16S ribosomal RNA". It matches the Rfam family "Bacterial small subunit ribosomal RNA", at positions 28 to 507 of the family's 1533-position model. The record is from RNAcentral.